This 72-nucleotide transfer RNA is filed under the name archaeon GW2011_AR15. RNAcentral's name for it is "tRNA-Cys". It matches the Rfam family "tRNA". From Rfam's summary of the family: Transfer RNA (tRNA) molecules are approximately 80 nucleotides in length. Their secondary structure includes four short double-helical elements and three loops (D, anti-codon, and T loops). RNAcentral also lists the same sequence under 1 other name. The record is from RNAcentral.
GCGGGGGUCGCCAAGCGGCUAAGGCAAUCGGCUGCAACCCGAUCAUCGGGGGUUCGAGUCCCCCCCCUCGCU